UACGAAGGGGGCUAGCGUUGUUCGGAAUUACUGGGCGUAAGGCGCGCGCAGGCGGCUAUCCAAGUCAGUGGUGAAAGCCCGGAGCUCAACUCCGGAACUGCCAUUGAAACUGUUUAGCUUGAGGAUGAGAGAGGUGAGUGGAAUUCCCAGUGUAGAGGUGAAAUUCGUAGAUAUUGGGAAGAACACCGGUGGCGAAGGCGGCUCACUGGCUCAUUACUGACGCUCAGGCGCGAUAGCGUGGGGAUCAAACAGG
RNAcentral lists this ribosomal RNA (253 nucleotides) under uncultured bacterium. RNAcentral's name for it is "partial 16S ribosomal RNA". It matches the Rfam family "Bacterial small subunit ribosomal RNA", at positions 524 to 776 of the family's 1533-position model. The record is from RNAcentral.